CAAUAGCGUAUAUUUAAGUUGUUGCAGUUAAAAAGCUCGUAGUUGGAUUUCGGUUAAGAGCGACCGGUCCGCCGUUUGGCGUGCACUGGUUGGUUUUAACUUCCUGUAGAGGACGUGCUCUGGGUUUAACGACCUGGACUCGGAGUCUACGUGGUUACUUUGAAAAAAUUAGAGUGUUCAAAGCGGGCUUACGCUUGAAUAUUUCAGCAUGGAAUAACACUAUAGGACUCCUGUCCUAUUUCGUUGGUCUCGGGACGGGAGUAAUGAUUAAGAGGAACAGUUGGGGGCAUUCGUAUUUCAUUGUCAGAGGUGAAAUUCUUGGAUUUAUGAAAGACGAACUUCUGCGAAAGCAUUUGCCAAGGAUGUUUUCAUUAA
Molecule: ribosomal RNA, 375 nt
Filed under: uncultured eukaryote
Lineage: Eukaryota
Description: partial 18S ribosomal RNA
Rfam family: Eukaryotic small subunit ribosomal RNA
Source: RNAcentral